UUUUAUUUCUCCUAGAAAAGUUUCUUGCAUAAAUUUAUAAGGGGGGCCAAGCCAGUGUUCUUUUUUGUCUUUCGAAAUAAGGGUGUGUUUGUUAAUGGGGAUAAAAGGGUGAAAACUGUAAUCGGUUAACUUUUCACCCUUUUAUCCCUUGUUUGGUUGAGAGGAAAGGGUGGAGAGAGUUGAGUUAACAACAUUCCGAAUUUCCAAAAACCCAAAAGGAGCAAAGCUAACACUCUUGGGAGCGGGUUGCAAAUUCAGGGGAACCAUAAAAGGCUUUUAUGAGUCUCUCCACUUUUUAGCUUUCUUUUAAUUUCAUGGGAAAGAUUACGACUGCAACUAAUCGAGUCGCUGCCUCGAUUACUAGACUCGGCAAGAGCUUUUCUUUUUUAUCUAUUAGUAAAUUAUUUUUAAAAAUAAUGAGGAGUCUUAUUUAAUAAAUUAGCUAAAUCCGACUAAAGGUAUGUUCAGCUUAUUUAAGCUCCACAAAUUAAUUGCUUAGACUCUACCAUUAGCAUAUCAUAUGU
Molecule: long non-coding RNA, 524 nt
Filed under: Ricinus communis (castor bean)
Lineage: Eukaryota; Viridiplantae; Streptophyta; Magnoliopsida; Malpighiales; Euphorbiaceae
Description: long non-coding RNA (RCOM_LNC003263)
Source: RNAcentral